CAGUGAUAAACUGGAGGAAGGUGGGGAUGACGUCAAGUCAUCAUGGCCCUUACGACCAGGGCUACACACGUGCUACAAUGGCGCAUACAAAGAGAAGCGACCUCGCGAGAGCAAGCGGACCUCAUAAAGUGCGUCGUAGUCCGGAUUGGAGUCUGCAACUCGACUCCAUGAAGUCGGAAUCGCUAGUAAUCGUGGAUCAGAAUGCCACGGUGAAUACGUUCCCGGGCCUUGUACACACCGCCCGUCACACCAUGGGAGUGGGUUGCAAAAGAAGUAGGU
This 279-nucleotide ribosomal RNA is filed under the name Salmonella enterica. RNAcentral's name for it is "partial 16S ribosomal RNA". It matches the Rfam family "Bacterial small subunit ribosomal RNA", at positions 1153 to 1431 of the family's 1533-position model. Lineage: Bacteria; Pseudomonadati; Pseudomonadota; Gammaproteobacteria; Enterobacterales; Enterobacteriaceae. The record is from RNAcentral. RNAcentral also lists the same sequence under 6 other names.